This 327-nucleotide ribosomal RNA is filed under the name uncultured eukaryote. RNAcentral describes it as "partial 18S ribosomal RNA". It matches the Rfam family "Eukaryotic small subunit ribosomal RNA", at positions 1470 to 1796 of the family's 1831-position model. The record is from RNAcentral.
CCCUUAGAUGUCCUGGGCCGCACGCGCGUUACACUGAUGCAUUCAACGAGCUUAUAACCUUGGCCGAGAGGCCUGGGCAAUCUUGUUAACGUGCAUCGUGAUAGGGAUAGAUUAUUGCAAUUAUUAAUCUUGAACGAGGAAUUCCUAGUAAACGCAGAUCAUCAAUCUGCAUUGAUUACGUCCCUGCCCUUUGUACACACCGCCCGUCGCACCUACCGAUUGAAUGGUCCGGUGAAGCCUCGGGAUUGUGGCCAGUUCACUUUAUUGGGAGUUGGCUGCGAGAACUUGUCUAAACCUUAUCAUUUAGAGGAAGGUGAAGUCGUAACA